Molecule: non-coding RNA, 809 nt
Organism: Poecilia reticulata (guppy)
Lineage: Eukaryota; Metazoa; Chordata; Actinopteri; Cyprinodontiformes; Poeciliidae
Source: RefSeq, a predicted model, not a curated record
GGGUUCUGAUCGGGCCGGUUGGGCAGAACUCUCUGGGUUCUGAUCGGGCCGGUUGGGCAGAACUUCUGCCUGUCAUCUGAUCCAGUGAACCGUUGGAGGGGGAAACACCCAGAAAGUCAAACACAGCGAGUCGGGCCUGAACACAACCGGUACCUCCUCAAUGUAAACAUGAGCUGUUAGAGGUCUGAUCAGGAUGUGGGAGGUUCUGACCCGUUAAAGGUUCUGACAGAGCCGUCUUUGUCGGUUUGUCCUGAAAGGCGUCAUUCGGGUCGGACCCGUCCUCGCCCAGGAUUUGCAUGCUGCAGGAAACAGAAACAAACUCAUUUUCAUUUACGGCUGCAGGCCGUCGGGCUGCAGCUCUUCUCUCACAGGAACCAGAACCAUCAGAGUUCUGCCGGGCAGAACCCGACUCAAAGGCUACAAUUCAGUCUCUCUCCAGAACCUCCUGAUUAUUUCCAACAUGGCCGACAUCUUUAAAUAAUCUGCUGAAUGCGUCAGAACACAGGCUGGUGAGUCUCUGCUGUUAUCUACGAAAGAAGGUCCAAAUGGUUCUGAUGGACCCGGUUGAGGCUUCUAUAUUUACUGCUCCACCUUGGGUUCACCUGUGAUCCAGGGUCGGAUCCAGGAUUCCUCCAUGGAGGCAGUGGGAGCGGACGCGACCGGGUUGUGGUUCCUGACACCAGGACUCUUCCUCCUCCUCCUCAUCCUCCUCUCCAUCUUCCUGACUGCUCUGUGUAGCGACUGCAACAGGUCAGCUCUGCAGCCCGAACACAAACACUCUGAGACAGACGCAGUCAGAGGCAGACAGA